CAUAUCAAUAAGCGGAGGAAAAGAAACCAACAGGGAUUGCCUUAGUAACGGCGAGUGAAGCGGCAACAGCUCAAAUUUGAAAGCUGGCCCUUUUAGGGUCCGCGUUGUAAUUUGUAGAGGAUGAUUCGGCGAGGGCUCCUGCCUAAGUCCCCUGGAACGGGGCGUCAUAGAGGGUGAGAAUCCCGUAUGCGGUAGGUUGCCUUAGCCAUGUGAAUCUCCUUCGACGAGUCGAGUUGUUUGGGAAUGCAGCUCUAAAUGGGAGGUAAAUUUCUUCUAAAGCUAAAUACUGGCCAGAGACCGAUAGCGCACAAGUAGAGUGAUCGAAAGAUGAAAAGCACUUUGGAAAGAGAGUUAAAAAGUACGUGAAAUUGUUGAAAGGGAAGCGCUUGCAACCAGACUUGUCCGCAGUUGCUCAGCCGGUCUCCUGACCGGCGUACUCUUCUGCGGCCAGGCCAGCAUCAGUUCGGGCGGUCGGAUAAAGGCCUCGGGAAUGUAGCUCCUCUCGGGGAGUGUUAUAGCCCGGGGUGGAAUGCGACCAGCCUGGACUGAGGAUCUCGCUUCGGCAAGGAUGCUGGCGUAAUGGUUGUAAGCGGCCCGUCUUGAAACACGGACCAAGGAGUCUAACAUCUAUGCGAGUGUUCGGGUGUCAAACCCGUACGCGUAAUGAAAGUGAACGGAGGUGGGAACCCGCAAGGGUGCACCAUCGGCCGAUCCUGAUGUCUUCGGAUGGAUUUGAGCAAGAGCAUAGCUGUUGGGACCCGAAAGAUGGUGAACUAUGCCUGAAUAGGGUGAAGCCAGAGGAAACUCUGGUGGAGGCUCGCAGCGGUUCUGACGUGCAAAUCGAUCGUCAAAUUUGGGUAUAGGGGCGAAAGACUAAUCGAACCAUCUAGUAGCU
Molecule: ribosomal RNA, 895 nt
Filed under: Lasiodiplodia pseudotheobromae
Lineage: Eukaryota; Fungi; Ascomycota; Dothideomycetes; Botryosphaeriales; Botryosphaeriaceae
Description: partial 28S large subunit ribosomal RNA
Rfam family: Eukaryotic large subunit ribosomal RNA
Source: RNAcentral